Molecule: long non-coding RNA, 3691 nt
Filed under: Sorghum bicolor (sorghum)
Lineage: Eukaryota; Viridiplantae; Streptophyta; Magnoliopsida; Poales; Poaceae
Description: long non-coding RNA (SBIC_LNC008507)
Source: RNAcentral
GACUUAGGGUUUUAUCUGACAGAAUUCCACGAGUUUUGGUGUUUGUCUAUUUCUGCAGGGGGUUAUCAGGAAAUAAGGAAGAAAGGCCUAUAUGUCGGGAUUACAUAGAGAUAUCAACCCACCGCGCAAUUUUCUACCAUCUAGAAGACUCCAGAAGCCACGGGAAGGAAGCGGAGCCCGAAAGGGGCCAGGCCCAGGGCGCCCGCCCUGAGGACCUGGGCGCCCGACAUGAACCAAGGAAGAGGACCAACAGGAGGAACAGGAACAAGCAAAUGUGGACCGAGUCAGCUAAGAUGGUCACUGCAGCUCAAGGAGCUCAAGAUCGUCGACUCAAGUCACCUUUCUUGAUCAAGAAGGACGACCCUGGUGUUCCAAGAAUCGAAUGCACAAACAAUGGAUACUCUUUUCAGAAGGCACUCUACGACACCGGAUCUGACGACAACAUAAUGGCCGCAGUCACUUAUCAGCUCCUGCAUGGAACCAUGCCCCUACAACCAAGAUACAUUCAGCUUCAAACAAUUUUCAGGUCAUUGACAUGGGAGAAGACAAGUAUGAUCCAUCCACCAUUCAUGGAAGACUGUUCCUAAACACUAUCAAAGCCAUUAUCUAUAUUGGAACCGAAGAAGUCCACAUGCACUUCCCCUCUGAGAAAGGUACGCCACUACUUUAAUGAUUAUAUAGUUGAAGAUUCUAAGCAGGUCAGGACAAGAAGAAGACAACGCAACCGCAACCAGAGGAGGCAAAUCAUCAAGGACGGAUGGGUAGACUACGAAGGAGAAGUGAUAAGGACUGAAGACAUACAACUUGAACAGAACUGUCCUGAGGAGACCGUAACACCGAGUCAGGUAUGGAAAAUGAAGAUAACUAUAAAUGAAGAGGACGCGCUGCCGGAAGUACCGACUACGCCACCCAACGAACCUCAGGACGACUAAGAAAACGGAGAGUCCCGUUCGGAGGACUUAAAAAACACCGAACGCCUUGCCAAGAGGUAAACUUGGUAGUUAUCCUUUUCCUUUCAAUUAUUCAAUUAUAGUUUGCUUAGUUAAUCAUGUUCGUAUUAUCCUAGAAAGAAAAUAAAAAUGUGAAAAAACUGUAAGCCCCAUGUGAGUAGACGAGUGGCAUAAAACCCAUAAGUACAUUCACUGUGGUGGCAUAAAAAUAAAAUAAAUAUUUUUCUACUUUAUAAAAUGAAAAUAUAAAAAAAACAGGGAGUAAUAAUUAUUAUUAAGGAGUCUCAAGAUGAUAAAGGCUAGAUAUUUAUGCUAACACUUAAUCAGUUCCACAAGCUUUGUUGUCUAUUUGAGCUCCACAGAAUUUAAGAAUCAAGAAGACUAGCAGACGGAGGACAUUCUAAUCGCUGUCAAAAUACUGCUGACUUUCAAACACACCUCUGCCACCUGCUAGCUACAUCAAGAGAAAUUACGUCAAAAUUCAGCUUAGGGGAGAGCACCCCCAUUUAUCUCGAUAAGUAUUUCUAUCUAUCUUUAUACUAUAUUAGAAUAUAAAUACACAUAACUAUGAAAAACCAAAUAAAGAUUUUAUGCUUAUAUAUCUUUUGCUUAGUGUGUUUAAUAAAGUGGCUAUGCUAAUCUGAAUCUUAAUAAUAAAACUUAAGCAUGGAUAUGAUGAAUAGUUGCUCUGCCUAAUUUGCAAAUUUGAAGUUCUCUCUCAAGUUUAGAUAUAACUGUUAUAAUUUAAGGCUUGCUCUAAACCUAAACUUGUGGGAUGAAAACUUGAUCUGAAGUCUAAGUUGUUAUCGGAUACGAUAUGGGAAGGUUGAGCUGCUGUUUAUCUGUUCCUAGAGAUGCUAGAAUUCUGGAGAAUUUUAUCUUUGAAAAUCUUUAAAAUAUUGCAUGAUGAGUUCCUGUAUGAUGAGAGUUUAAAUUCCUACCACAGCCAUAUAUACAUGCUUGCUAGACCUUGAGCCACACAUUUACUAUUUACUGCUUAUGAGCAUUGAGUGUGGUCAAGCUGUGUAGACCCUUAGGAGCUUGUCAUGUGGUUAAAUCAAGAUUCACUUGCACGUUCACUCAUAUAUGCUACUUCUACUCCGGAAGUACCAUCCACAUAUAUCCACUCAUUUCCAUCUCCAGUUUUACCCAAAAUUAUUCUACUCCUAAUCCGGGAGAGAAUAGCCAAAAAACAUUUUUCUAUCCCUGUUAUUCCCUGUGAAAUAAAUGCUCCAGUUAUUUUGGUUACUAGCACUUGCUACAUUAUUUCAGGAGAUGAGUGCUCUAGAAAGAAAAAAAAAGAAAAAAAAAGAAGAAGAAAAAAAUAAAUAAUAUACGAGGAAAUAAAAAGGGGCAAGUGCCCGGAACCUCGAAGAAAAGAAAAAGAAGAGCAUCUCAUUCUCCUCAUAAAGUUUCAAAAGCAAGGAAGGUAUGUAUCCCCUCAAAGAGCAAAAGUAGAAUUAGACUUCCACCACCAUUGUUUUCACCAUUGUUAUCACCAUCAUCACCAUACACCAUUCAUUCACCACACAUGCACAUCUUGAUUUGGCUUAUUGAUUUGUUUCUUUGGAUCCAUGGUUUGACUAUGCAAUAAAUGUCUUGUAAGUAUGUAUAUUUUAUCUCCCACCUAUGAGCUCUAGAUAUUAAAGCCUUAUUAGAGUAGGGUGAGAGAGAAGGCAAUGUCACUAUGCCUUAUACCACAAAUACUACAUAUCUUGAGAGAAGGCAUAUACCAUCACUGCCUUGGUAAGGAUCCAAAAAUACCACAAAAGAGAGACUAGAGAGAAUUAUACAAGGAAUCUCUGAGUUUUAUUUGAAAAUCUGCAAAAACUCCAGAGCUAUAGUUGAUCAAAGAACAAGAUACAUGGUGCUUGACUUGACCGUUCUAUCUUUGAACUGCUCAAGACACAAGUGACGUUACAAGCCCCAUGGUGAAAGGUAAAAUGAGUAAGUUUUAAGUCUUAACAGUUUAUUCUAACUCAGAGAUGAGAUCUUGCUUAAAUGCGUGUGUACUUCUAAGAAAUGAAACCACUACAGAAACUCUUGAGUUCAUCCUUGCUCAGGGACGAGCAAGAGGUAAGCUUGGGGGAGUUUGUUGACGGUCCUUAAGUAUCAAAUUUAAUUAUCAAAUAAACAAAGAAAAGGAUCCAAAUGAAAUCAACAUCUAGACUUAGGGUUUUAUCUGACAGAUUUCCACGAGUUUUGGUGUUUGUCUAUUUCUGCAGGGGGUUAUCAGGAAAUAAGGAAGAAAGGCCUACAUGUCGGGAUUACAUAGAGAUAUCAACCCACCGCGCAAUUUUCUACCAUCUAGAAGACUCCAGAAGCCACGGGAAGGAAGCAGAGCCCAAAAGGGGCCAGGCCCAGGGCGCCCGCCCUGAGGACCUGGGCCCCCGCCCCCCUCUGGACUCCGUUCCGGACUCUCUUCGCACACGACGUUCCACCGACCUAUUGGAUCCACAAUAACAUAGUACCACCUCGCCUAUCGACCCAAAAACGCAUAGAAGGGGAGGACUAUAUAAGGAGACCCCCUCUGGCCCCUGGAGGAGACAAGAAAUUAUCAUAGAGAUUGAGGGGUGCCCUCGAAGGAAAACCUCUUCUCUAAAUAAUAUUUCUUUUUAGGCUUAGCAACCAAUGUAAAGUAGAAAUAGAUCUUCUAGUUUCUACUAGAUUGAGAGAGAUAGAGUGGAGGUGUGGAUCGGAGGAAGGCCGGCCUGUCGGUGUCUACUCCGAGUUGUACCUGC